GCAGCUCUUCGCGUCGCUUCUCUGGCUCUCCACAAGACCACAACUACCGACUCUAACAAUUGCUUAAACGCUUAGUGCUUCUCCGUCCUUGACUACCGGCGUCUGGCUCACUGCCUCCGGUCAGCAGGAACACCGGCGUCCGGCCAAGCUGCAACCGCGGCUCUCAUCUCCUCUCCGUAAUCAGUAAUCAGAUGCUCCCAAGGCGGAGGAAAUGGAAGUCCAAUCAAGAUAACAAGUCUUCAUAAUCUGUACGAGAAGCGUGUGGCCGUGUUACAUAUCUAAUUCCAUUGAUUGAGAGAGUGUCAAAGGCGUUACCAGCAAUCUUGCGUUAUGGAAAAAUUUUUCAAAAGAAAAUCAACUUUUGGGGAUUCAUCUAGUCAAAGUAGUCGCGAAGUGUCAAGUACAAGGCCCCGUAUUGAAGUUAACAUAGAUGAACUUGAAGUUGAUCCGAGUAAAAGGAAAAAUAUAUAUGAAUAUCAUAUCAAUGAUAGAGAUAUUGUGCGGAGACGAUAUCUACAAAUGGGUCCUUGUCAACCAAAAAAUCAUGUAUUUCUGCUAUGAAGUUAAUCAAGACAUCUUUACGCAACCGGAUGAGUGAUGAUUUAUUACAUGAUUGCUUAGUGCCGUAUGUUGAAAAAGAUAUUUUUGAUCAAGUUUCAAAUGAAGCAAUUCUACAGCGAUUUCAAAAUAUGAGAGAGCGUAGAGGAGUAUUACCUCGUAGUUUAUCAUAAACUUUGUAUGGUAAUUUAUAAUGUAUUUUGAUUUUAACAAUUGUAUUCGUAUUUGAUAUUUUGUAUUUGAACCUUGUAUUUGAACA
Ipomoea nil (Japanese morning glory) is the source of this 817-nucleotide long non-coding RNA. RefSeq lists it as uncharacterized. The transcript is spliced from 3 exons. The record is from RefSeq and is a predicted model, not a curated record. Lineage: Eukaryota; Viridiplantae; Streptophyta; Magnoliopsida; Solanales; Convolvulaceae.